AAUGAACACAGAAAACAAUAACAUAUAUACAUAAUCAAUGUAUAUGAAUAACAUAUACAUGAUGGCAUCAUUCUGGCGGUAUGUUCUAAGAUUGCUCCAAGUAUCAGAACCCAGGAAUUAAGCAGGAAUAUUUGUUCUUGUUAUGCUAAAGAUUCAAGUUCAGCUUUCAAUUUAUCGAACCCUUUGAGGUUAGCAUAUCUGUUCCCAUUUGUAUUUGCAAGGAUAGUUAACUUAUCUCUUGGCGUCCCGGGUUCUGGGUUCAACUCUCGCUCGUUCACAGAUCAACUUAUCUUUUAGGUAUGUUUUAAUAAACUUUUCCCGCUACAGAGACUGCAUUAAUAUCAAGGGAGCAACGGCGUGCCCUGAUUGCCGGAAGAUUGAGCUUGGCAGUUAAUUUUGCCGAGGAUCUAUUUGGGAUCUUUUUGCUGAUGUGGAUGUAAGCACACUUACUUCUGUUUUCAAUCCAUAUAGUGUACCUAGCUCUGCUACAAUCAUUAAUUUCGCAAGUGCAUUUGUCUUUAUAUGAAUACCUGAGAUGAAUUAAAGGGGUGCUUUUGGUUUACAUCUGAUAUGUUUGUACUAGAGUUCUCUGCCAUGGUAUAUUAAGAUUUUGUUGGAUAUUAACCUUUCCUUUCAGUUCGUUCAUAGUAGAGUUCUCUGCUAUGAAUAGUUGAGAUAAAUUAAAGGGGUGCUAUUGGUUUACAUCUGAUAUGUUUGUAGUAGAGUUCUCUCCCACCGCAUAUUAAGAUUUAGUUGAAUAUUAACCUUUCCUUUCAGUUCGUUGAUCAUUUAAGCAACCACAUCUCUAGCCUGUGGGUAUUUUAUCAUAUCUAUUUCUGAGGGAUCUAGGUUCUAGAAGGUAUUUUUUUGUUAUCUGGGAAUUAAAAAUACCGAAUAUCUAUCCAUUUGAUCAGAUGAUGUUUGUUGAUGGAAGUUUUCAACUCGUAUUUACUUAGCGGGUGACCUGGUGCAAGCAUAGAAGUAAUUAAUUAUUAAUUUACUUUCUUUUCCUGUAUCUUCAGGUUUUAUGGUAAGACAGAAUUCUUCGGGGGUGUUGCAAUAGAAUAAUAUGUAUUUCCAUCCAAUUAAAGUUAAACUGGGCAGGGGUAUUUUCGGAAAUACAACUAUAACCACUUAAAAACUCCAUUAAUGCUCUGUGAGAAGAAUUUUGAGUUGUAAUAGAAUUAUUAGUGAAUUUUUAUGGUUUUAUUGAAGAUUUGAUGGUUUUAAACUUAGGGGUUGGAGGUUUAAUGGAGAUUUUGUGAGGUCUCGGGUCCUUAAUCUUUGUUAGAGUUUUAAUCAAGCUUUUGAGGUUUAGUUUAUCAUGAGGUGAGGUUUGAGGUAUUUUUUGGAGUUCAAAUGGAGCCAACUCUUAGGGGUCAUUUGCUUACUUCUGAAUGGAGCUUACUGAUGCUUAGCUGAGCGAUUCCUCUUGUUCAGGUUAUUUGUUGUCUCCCCAAGAUUGUCUGAUCGAAUCUUAUAACUGCUUAGCCGUUCAUUUACAAAAUCGUGCACGACUCAUUCAUACACUCGCAUAUGUUCUGG
This is a long non-coding RNA of Daucus carota subsp. sativus, 1545 nucleotides long. RefSeq lists it as uncharacterized. The transcript is spliced from 3 exons. The record is from RefSeq and is a predicted model, not a curated record. Lineage: Eukaryota; Viridiplantae; Streptophyta; Magnoliopsida; Apiales; Apiaceae.